CCUACGGGAGGCAGCAGUGGGGAAUAUUGCACAAUGGGGGAAACCCUGAUGCAGCGACGCCGCGUGAGUGAAGAAGUCUCUCGGUAUGUUAAGCUCUAUCAGCAGGGAAGUAAAUGGCGGUACCUGAUUAAGAAGCCCCGGCUAACUACGUGCCAGCAGCCGCGGUAAUACGGAGGGGGCAGGCGUUAUCCGGAUUUACUGGGUGUAAAGGGAGCGUAGACGGCAGCACAAGACUGGAGUGAAAUGCCGGGGCUUAACCCCGGAAUUGCUUUGGAAACUGGGCAGCUAGAGUGCAGGAGAGGUAAGUGGAAUUCGUGGUGUAGCGGUGAAAUGCGUAGAUAUUAGGAAGAACCCCAGUGGCGAAGACAGCUUACUGGACUGUAACUGACGUUGAGGCUCGAAAGCGUGGGGAGCAAACAGGAUUAGAUACCCUGGUAGUC
Molecule: ribosomal RNA, 440 nt
Filed under: uncultured bacterium
Lineage: Bacteria
Description: partial 16S ribosomal RNA
Rfam family: Bacterial small subunit ribosomal RNA
Source: RNAcentral